GAUGAACGCUGGCGGCGUGCCUAAUACAUGCAAGUCGAGCGAACGGACGAGAAGCUUGCUUCUCUGAUGUUAGCGGCGGACGGGUGAGUAACACGUGGAUAACCUCCCAAUAAGCUGGGGUUAACUUCGGGAAACCGGAGUUAAUACCGGAUAAUAUUUUGACCCCCAGGGUUCAAAAGUGAAAGACGGUCUUGUUGUCACUUUUAGAUGGUUCCGCGCUGCAUAAGCUAGUUGGUAAGGUAACGGCUUACCAAGGCAACGAUGCAUAGCCGACCUGAGAGGGUGAUCGGCCACACUGGAACUGAGACACGGUCCAGACUCCUACGGGAGGCAGCAGUAGGGAAUCUUCCGCAAUGGGCGGAAGCCUGACGGAGCAACGCCGCGUGAGUGAUGAAGGUCUUCGGAUCGUAAAACUCUGUUAUUAGGGAAGAACAUAUGUGUAAGUAACUGUGCACAUCUUGACGGUACCUAAUCAGAAAGCCACGGCUAACUACGUG
Molecule: ribosomal RNA, 497 nt
Filed under: uncultured bacterium
Lineage: Bacteria
Description: partial 16S ribosomal RNA
Rfam family: Bacterial small subunit ribosomal RNA
Source: RNAcentral